Zingiber officinale is the source of this 1311-nucleotide long non-coding RNA. RefSeq lists it as uncharacterized. The transcript has 5 exons. Lineage: Eukaryota; Viridiplantae; Streptophyta; Magnoliopsida; Zingiberales; Zingiberaceae. The record is from RefSeq and is a predicted model, not a curated record.
UAUAUUCACUGUGUAUCCCCCCUUCAGAGUACAUAUGUAUCUGUAUAGUAAUUAAUUUCAAUAUAGGCACAUCAAAUUACCUUAAUUGUUUCUAGACAUAGACUUAAUCCUUUGGAUUACUUUAUUUUAAUUGGUAGAGUAUUUGCCACUACCUUUCUAUUAUUCAUUCUUUUGCUUUGCAGGUUGUGAAAAAAUUGAUUGGCAUCGGAAAGGAGACUAUUUCACUACUGUCGUUCCUAGUGAUAUCCUAAUUAUGAAUUUUAGUUGUACUUAUUUUUAGUCAUUCCUAGUGCCUAUUUUAUAUCUCAGUUUUGUUUCUUUCUUUUUUCUAAUACACACUGACAAAUUGGAAAUAUAUAAAAAUCAUGACAUUAUACCUAGUUACCUAGCCUUUGAGGCUGGAAUCAGGAUGAAACCUAAAGUGCCCUGAAAAGUUUAGGCAUACCAAAUUCUCUCAGUUUAAUGACAGAGGUGUUUUAGAUUGUAAAUUUCAUCCGAGGCAGCCAUGGCUAUUCACAGCUGGAGCAGAUUCUGUCAUUAAACUGUAUUGCCACUAAUGAUAGAUUCUCCAGGAAACUUUGAAGAAUCUCCUCGAGUCAAGAUACGUUGUGAUUGGCACGGCAAGUGUUCUAAAAUGAAGCCAAAGAAAAUGGGGGAGAAAAUAAGGUUCGGCUUGAGGAAUUUAUGCAAUAAAGCAGUUUUAUAUUUGAUUCCUUCUUUAAUUAUAUUGCGUGUGUUCCUAAGCUGCAACCUAUUAAUAAUUUUAGUUUUAUAAUGUUCUUUGCCACUACCUUUCUAUUAUUCAUUCUUUUGCUUUGCAGGUUGUGACAAAAAUUGAUUGGCAUCGGAAAGGAGACUAUUUCACUACUGUCGUUCCUAGUGAUAUCCUAAUUAUGAAUUUUAGUUGUACUUAUUUUUAGUCAUUCCUAGUGCCUAUUUUAUUCCUAGUCACCUUAUUUCAAUGACAAGAACAAGGGUUCUCAUGGCCAAUAUGUGUCUAUUAAUGGGAUUUUCAAUGUCUUGCUUACCACGCUAAUCCUACUUCUGAUUGGAUUUGCAGCUUCAAGAUAUCAAACUCUACACCUUCUAUAUGGAGCUAGAUUUGCAAAAGCCAUAUCCAACUCGAGGAAGUGACUUAUUGACAUGGGAGAGAACUUAUUGGUAACCAAGGACUUUGUGAAGAUAGCAAAUUUUGGCCUUGCUCGUGAAGUUCAUUCGAAGCCACCAUUCACAGAAUAGGUUUCAACACGCUGUUUACAAAUCUCAAGUACUCCAGAGUUGAAAUUGAUGAAGUGCAGUUCGAGUGGGCUG